CUAUAUAUAUUAGUAAGGCGAAAACAUAGUAAGACUAUGCAUGUGUUCCAAGAUAUAGUUCUUUCCUUAGGUCUGGUUGUAUAAAUGCCGGUAAUAAUU
Oryctolagus cuniculus (rabbit) is the source of this 99-nucleotide small nucleolar RNA. Its record names the gene SNORA72. It matches the Rfam family "Small nucleolar RNA SNORA72". Rfam says of the family: U72 is a member of the H/ACA class of snoRNAs. The snoRNA gene is located in intron 4 of the ribosomal L30 protein gene in human, mouse and chicken. The record is from Ensembl. Lineage: Eukaryota; Metazoa; Chordata; Mammalia; Lagomorpha; Leporidae.